CCUUCGAUAGCUCAGUUGGUAGAGCAGUAGACUGUAGUUGUUUAUUGUUUAUGUAAAAAAUAUCCAUAGGUCGCUGAUUCAAAUCCGGCUCGAAGGA
This 97-nucleotide transfer RNA is filed under the name Acromyrmex echinatior (Panamanian leafcutter ant). It matches the Rfam family "tRNA". Rfam says of the family: Transfer RNA (tRNA) molecules are approximately 80 nucleotides in length. Their secondary structure includes four short double-helical elements and three loops (D, anti-codon, and T loops). The record is from Rfam by way of RNAcentral. Lineage: Eukaryota; Metazoa; Arthropoda; Insecta; Hymenoptera; Formicidae.